This 497-nucleotide ribosomal RNA is filed under the name uncultured bacterium. Its description in RNAcentral is "partial 16S ribosomal RNA". It matches the Rfam family "Bacterial small subunit ribosomal RNA", at positions 28 to 507 of the family's 1533-position model. The record is from RNAcentral.
GAUGAACGCUGGCGGCGUGCCUAAUACAUGCAAGUCGAGCGAACAGACGAGGAGCUUGCUCCUCUGACGUUAGCGGCGGACGGGUGAGUAACACGUGGAUAACCUACCUAUAAGACUGGGAUAACUUCGGGAAACCGGAGCUAAUACCGGAUAAUAUAUUUAACCGCAUGGUUCAAUAGUGAAAGACGGUUUUGCUGUCACUUAUAGAUGGAUCCGCGCCGCAUUAGCUAGUUGGUAAGGUAACGGCUUACCAAGGCAACGAUGCGUAGCCGACCUGAGAGGGUGAUCGGCCACACUGGAACUGAGACACGGUCCAGACGCCUACGGGAGGCAGCAGUAGGGAAUCUUCCGCAAUGGGCGAAAGCCUGACGGAGCAACGCCGCGUGAGUGAUGAAGGUCUUCGGAUCGUAAAACUCUGUUAUUAGGGAAGAACAAAUGUGUAAGUAACUAUGCACGUCUUGACGGUACCUAAUCAGAAAGCCACGGCUAACUACGUG